This 494-nucleotide ribosomal RNA is filed under the name uncultured bacterium. RNAcentral's name for it is "partial 16S ribosomal RNA". It matches the Rfam family "Bacterial small subunit ribosomal RNA", at positions 28 to 507 of the family's 1533-position model. The record is from RNAcentral.
GACGAACGCUGGCGGCGCGCUUAACACAUGCAAGUCGAACGGAAAGGCCUGCUUUCCCUUGUGGAUUGCGGGUACUCGAGUGGCGAACGGGUGAGUAACACGUGAGUGAUCUGCCCCCAACUUGGGUAUAAGCCUGGGAAACUGGGUCUAAUUCCCGAUAGGACUGCAGGGUGGUGCCUGUGGUGGAAAACGAUUUUCUAGUGGUUGGGGAUGAGCUCGCGGCCUAUCAGCUUGUUGGUGGGGUAAUGGCCUACCAAGGCGGCGACGGGUAGCCGGCCUGAGAGGGUGGACGGCCACAUUGGGACUGGGAUACGGCCCAGACUCCUACGGGAGGCAGCAGUGGGGAAUAAUGCACAAUGGGCGGAAGCCUGAUGCAGCGACGCCGCGUGGAGGAUGACGGGCUUCGGGUUGUAAACUCCUUGCGACCGCGAGGAAGCCACCUGGUUGGAAGGGUGGUGACGGUAGUGGUAGAAGAAGCACCGGCUAACUACGUG